This 425-nucleotide ribosomal RNA is filed under the name uncultured bacterium. RNAcentral describes it as "bacterial SSU rRNA". It matches the Rfam family "Bacterial small subunit ribosomal RNA", at positions 355 to 775 of the family's 1533-position model. The record is from RNAcentral.
UCGAGAAUCUUCGGCAAUGGACGCAAGUCUUACCGAGCGACGCCGCGUGCGGGAUGAAGGCCUUCGGGUUGUAAACCGCUGUCGGAAGGGAGGAAAUGCAUGGGGGUUAUCCCCUGUGCUUGACCGAUCUUCGGAGGAAGUACGGGCUAAGUUCGUGCCAGCAGCCGCGGUAACACGAACUGUACGAACGUUAUUCGGAAUUACUGGGCUUAAAGAGUGCGUAGGCGGCCUGGAAGGUUGGAUGUGAAAUCCCUCGGCCCAACCGAGGAACUGCGUUCAAAACCACCAGGCUUGAGGGAGGUAGAGGUGAGCGGAACUGAUGGUGGAGCGGUGAAAUGCGUUGAUAUCAUCAGGAACACCGGUGGCGAAGGCGGCUCACUGGGCCUUUUCUGACGCUGAGGCACGAAAGCUAGGGGAGCGAACGG